Molecule: ribosomal RNA, 253 nt
Filed under: uncultured bacterium
Lineage: Bacteria
Description: partial 16S ribosomal RNA
Rfam family: Bacterial small subunit ribosomal RNA
Source: RNAcentral
UACGUAGGGUGCGAGCGUUAUUCGGAAUUACUGGGCGUAAAGUGUGCGCAGGCGGCGUUGCAAGUCGAGUGUGAAAUCCCCGAGCUUAACUUGGGAAUUGCGCUCGAAACUACGAUGCUCGAGUAUGGCAGAGGAAGGUGGAAUUCCACGUGUAGCGGUGAAAUGCGUAGAGAUGUGGAGGAACACCGAUGGCGAAGGCAGCCUUCUGGGCCAAUACUGACGCUCAUGCACGAAAGCGUGGGGAGCAAACAGG